This 1536-nucleotide ribosomal RNA is filed under the name Streptococcus thermophilus. RNAcentral's name for it is "bacterial SSU rRNA". It matches the Rfam family "Bacterial small subunit ribosomal RNA". The record is from RNAcentral. Lineage: Bacteria; Bacillati; Bacillota; Bacilli; Lactobacillales; Streptococcaceae. RNAcentral also lists the same sequence under 1 other name.
AGAGUUUGAUCCUGGCUCAGGACGAACGCUGGCGGCGUGCCUAAUACAUGCAAGUAGAACGCUGAAGAGAGGAGCUUGCUCUUCUUGGAUGAGUUGCGAACGGGUGAGUAACGCGUAGGUAACCUGCCUUGUAGCGGGGGAUAACUAUUGGAAACGAUAGCUAAUACCGCAUAACAAUGGAUGACACAUGUCAUUUAUUUGAAAGGGGCAAUUGCUCCACUACAAGAUGGACCUGCGUUGUAUUAGCUAGUAGGUGAGGUAAUGGCUCACCUAGGCGACGAUACAUAGCCGACCUGAGAGGGUGAUCGGCCACACUGGGACUGAGACACGGCCCAGACUCCUACGGGAGGCAGCAGUAGGGAAUCUUCGGCAAUGGGGGCAACCCUGACCGAGCAACGCCGCGUGAGUGAAGAAGGUUUUCGGAUCGUAAAGCUCUGUUGUAAGUCAAGAACGGGUGUGAGAGUGGAAAGUUCACACUGUGACGGUAGCUUACCAGAAAGGGACGGCUAACUACGUGCCAGCAGCCGCGGUAAUACGUAGGUCCCGAGCGUUGUCCGGAUUUAUUGGGCGUAAAGCGAGCGCAGGCGGUUUGAUAAGUCUGAAGUUAAAGGCUGUGGCUCAACCAUAGUUCGCUUUGGAAACUGUCAAACUUGAGUGCAGAAGGGGAGAGUGGAAUUCCAUGUGUAGCGGUGAAAUGCGUAGAUAUAUGGAGGAACACCGGUGGCGAAAGCGGCUCUCUGGUCUGUAACUGACGCUGAGGCUCGAAAGCGUGGGGAGCGAACAGGAUUAGAUACCCUGGUAGUCCACGCCGUAAACGAUGAGUGCUAGGUGUUGGAUCCUUUCCGGGAUUCAGUGCCGCAGCUAACGCAUUAAGCACUCCGCCUGGGGAGUACGACCGCAAGGUUGAAACUCAAAGGAAUUGACGGGGGCCCGCACAAGCGGUGGAGCAUGUGGUUUAAUUCGAAGCAACGCGAAGAACCUUACCAGGUCUUGACAUCCCGAUGCUAUUUCUAGAGAUAGAAAGUUACUUCGGUACAUCGGUGACAGGUGGUGCAUGGUUGUCGUCAGCUCGUGUCGUGAGAUGUUGGGUUAAGUCCCGCAACGAGCGCAACCCCUAUUGUUAGUUGCCAUCAUUCAGUUGGGCACUCUAGCGAGACUGCCGGUAAUAAACCGGAGGAAGGUGGGGAUGACGUCAAAUCAUCAUGCCCCUUAUGACCUGGGCUACACACGUGCUACAAUGGUUGGUACAACGAGUUGCGAGUCGGUGACGGCGAGCUAAUCUCUUAAAGCCAAUCUCAGUUCGGAUUGUAGGCUGCAACUCGCCUACAUGAAGUCGGAAUCGCUAGUAAUCGCGGAUCAGCACGCCGCGGUGAAUACGUUCCCGGGCCUUGUACACACCGCCCGUCACACCACGAGAGUUUGUAACACCCGAAGUCGGUGAGGUAACCUUUUGGAGCCAGCCGCCUAAGGUGGGACAGAUGAUUGGGGUGAAGUCGUAACAAGGUAGCCGUAUCGGAAGGUGCGGCUGGAUCACCU